Molecule: transfer RNA, 73 nt
Filed under: Acidithrix ferrooxidans
Lineage: Bacteria; Bacillati; Actinomycetota; Acidimicrobiia; Acidimicrobiales; Acidimicrobiaceae
Rfam family: tRNA
About the family: Transfer RNA (tRNA) molecules are approximately 80 nucleotides in length. Their secondary structure includes four short double-helical elements and three loops (D, anti-codon, and T loops). Further hydrogen bonds mediate the characteristic L-shaped molecular structure. tRNAs have two regions of fundamental functional importance: the anti-codon, which is responsible for specific mRNA codon recognition, and the 3' end, to which the tRNAs corresponding amino acid is attached (by aminoacyl-tRNA synthetases). tRNAs cope with the degeneracy of the genetic code in two manners: having more than one tRNA (with a specific anti-codon) for a particular amino acid; and 'wobble' base-pairing, i.e. permitting non-standard base-pairing at the 3rd anti-codon position.
Source: Rfam by way of RNAcentral
GCCCCCAUCGUCUAGCGGCCUAGGACGUCGCCCUUUCACGGCGGUAACACGGGUUCGAAUCCCGUUGGGGGUG